Molecule: ribosomal RNA, 253 nt
Filed under: uncultured bacterium
Lineage: Bacteria
Description: partial 16S ribosomal RNA
Rfam family: Bacterial small subunit ribosomal RNA
Source: RNAcentral
UACGUAGGUGGCAAGCGUUGUCCGGAUUUAUUGGGCGUAAAGGGAGCGCAGGUGGUUUCUUAAGUCCGAUGUGAAAGCCCACGGCUCAACCGUGGAGGGUCAUUGGAAACUGGAAAACUUGAGUGCAGAAGAGGAAAGUGGAAUUCCAUGUGUAGCGGUAAAAUGCGCAGAGAUAUGGAGGAACACCAGUGGCGAAGGCGACUUUCUGGUCUGUUACUGACACUGAGGCUCGAAGGCGUGGGGAGCAAACAGG